This is a non-coding RNA of Podarcis muralis (Common wall lizard), 977 nucleotides long. The record is from RefSeq and is a predicted model, not a curated record. Lineage: Eukaryota; Metazoa; Chordata; Lepidosauria; Squamata; Lacertidae.
CCUGGCAAACUGAACGCAGCUGGGCGCCCUUCCGAGUCUGGGGCGUGGCUACGAUCCCUCUGCAACAGAGCUGUCCUUUGGGAAAGAAAUGCAAAAUGUAACAAGACAGCAUAAAACAAGAAUGUUACAUGUGUGGAGGUUAAGCCUGAAGAAGAGUUCUGUGAUGCUCAGAAGCUGCCUAUGUUCCUAUCUGGUCUGGGGCCAUUGGCCCUGCAUCACACGAAAGGUUGUGCAGCAGGAGCUGUGUUGGGUUGGAUCUCGCCCUUUAUCUCCUUGACAAAGUAGCCCAGCUCAUCCUUGACACUCUUUAUCUGAAAACUGUCUAGACUAUGGAGCAAGCUGGGUAUGAGCACAUGUUUGCGGCUAGAUUAAAUUCCUCUUGCUAUGACCUCUGGAAUUUCAGCAGCUGUGGGAGGACUUGGGCACCCAGCAGGUGGGAGGUUACUCUGCUGGCCCUGGAGGAGGAUCAGGAAUUCAUGGAAAUGUCAGGGUUAAAUAAAGGUGACCGGAGUUGUGUGAGAGAGAAGUAUUAUAAAUGGAAUUUUGAAAAAGUAAAAUAACAAGAAUGGAAUUGUGAGUUAUUUGCAAAUGCCUCUGUUCAUCGGGCCUUUUCCACACUUGGCAUCUCCCUGCCACUCGCCACUUAUUCCUUUGGAAACCCUUGAAGGGCUGCUCCAACCAGAGGCAGGGAUUUGGGUGGGUUGGGUUUGUGGCUUCCCCGUAAUGUCCUUUCAAGAAGAAUUGGAAAAUGAAUCUCCAGUGUUCGUCAACAUUGAGCCGACCCAGACAGCAGGCAGCCGGGGGAGAGAUGCCUGCUCCUUGCUCCCUUGCUUGCUGAGAUGGGUCCUGAAUCUCAGCCCUGCCUGCAAGGCAAGGGAGCCACGCUUUCCCAGGAAGUAGCAGAGGUUGCUAUGCGUUGCUCCCAUUUGACACAUGCCCAAUAAUGGUUUUUUAAAAAACAAAAAACAACAUUUUAA